UGCAGAAAGCCUGUGCUCUACAAG
This 24-nucleotide non-coding RNA is filed under the name Mus musculus (house mouse). The record is from RNAcentral. Lineage: Eukaryota; Metazoa; Chordata; Mammalia; Rodentia; Muridae.